CGCCUCUGGCCGCGGCGGCCGCCGCCUCGCUCCGCCCCGGGGAACUGAGCGCGCGGCCAGCCAGCCUGCCAGAGAGACGCCAGCCGCCGGCGGCGCUAGCACCUCGGAGGAGGGUAGCCGAAGCGAGUGGAGCGCAGCGCUGGGAGCCGGACUGGGGGUGGGGAAACCAGCCCGGUCCAGGCGAGGGCCACCCCCGGUCCUCUGCCCUCRCGCCCCGCCAGGGCCAGUUCUCUCCCCAUCCUCUAAACUCCUGAGCUUGGAGAAAGUGAAGUCUAAAAACCAGUCUUUCUCUAUGUGAAUGCCAAACCUUGUGGAGAAUUUGUGUGGUGGAGUUUCUCUCAUCUCAGGUGUGACCUGCACUCUCCUUGAAAACCUGCACCUGUCUGAUUCUCAGAAUUCCAUGUUCUUCCAACGACAUUGACAUAUUUGAUGUGUUAAAGCAUUAAAAAAAAGGAAAAUAUUUGCAAUGUGUAGCGAGUGAUAUUUUCCAUGAAGGAAACCUUAAUUGAAAAUGUAUAAUUUCUGAACUCCAAGGGAAGAAACAACUAUUAGACUAUAUAUAUUCCAAGUAUGUAUAUAUGUAACUAUAUAUGAUCAUUAUCUACAUAUUAUACAUGUAUAACUUUUUAAUUCUUAAUUCCAUUUCCUGGACUUGGUAGUUUCUUUUAACUAUGAUGCUCAUGGCUUGCAUGCACUCAGAAGCCGACAGAUAGAAGGGACUGGAGGAUCURCCCAAUUCAAUUGUCAGGUAGAGGGGAUUAUGCAGAGCUUUAUUUUAUUGUGACUUGAAUAAAAGGUUAGAUUCUCCAGCCUGUAGGGAGAGU
Molecule: long non-coding RNA, 824 nt
Filed under: Urocitellus parryii (Arctic ground squirrel)
Lineage: Eukaryota; Metazoa; Chordata; Mammalia; Rodentia; Sciuridae
Description: lncRNA (ENSUPAG00010010210.1)
Source: RNAcentral